RNAcentral lists this ribosomal RNA (428 nucleotides) under uncultured bacterium. RNAcentral's name for it is "bacterial SSU rRNA". It matches the Rfam family "Bacterial small subunit ribosomal RNA", at positions 355 to 776 of the family's 1533-position model. The record is from RNAcentral.
UCGAGAAUUUUUCACAAUGGGCGAAAGCCUGAUGGAGCGACGCCGCGUGGGGGAUGAAUGGCUUCGGCCCGUAAACCCCUGUCAUUUGCGAACAAACCUUCCGACCUAACACGUCGGGAGCUGAUUGUAGCGGAAGAGGAAGGGACGGCUAACUCUGUGCCAGCAGCCGCGGUAAUACAGAGGUCCCAAGCGUUGUUCGGAUUCACUGGGCGUAAAGGGUGCGUAGGCGGUUGGAUAAGUCUGACGUGAAAUCUUCGAGCUCAACUCGGAAACUGCAUCGGAAACUAUCCAGCUAGAGGAUUGGAGGGGAGACUGGAAUUCUCGGUGUAGCAGUGAAAUGCGUAGAUAUCGAGAGGAACACCAGUGGCGAAGGCGAGUCUCUGGACAAUUCCUGACGCUGAGGCACGAAAGCUAGGGGAGCAAACAGG